CGAAAUUACUGGGGGUGCCUAAAUUGGAGAUGGUAAUCCAUUUGGUGAGAAGGAAAGGUUAAAAUAUGAUUUUGUGCGAAAUUCGCAUUAAUCCACGUUGCGAAUGAUUUACGGCGGACAACACCUGGAUACAGGAAACUGAACAGCCUCCGCAAAGGCCGCAAUUACGCCUAUUUAGUUAUGAUAAAUAUUUCUUGUUGGGUUCGCGCAUACCGAGAAGAAAAAUCUAAUCACUGUUAUUAGGGGACUAUUAAAUGCAAAUUGCCAAUUUUUUUUGUGUUGGAAUUCUGCGAGGAUUUGUUAUUUGAACAAACCAUCCUGCUGAAUGUUUUUUUAAGAAAAUCAGUUUGUUAAAUAUAUUGAAUAAACUAAUUAUAACAAGAAAACUAA
Long non-coding RNA from Aethina tumida (small hive beetle), 390 nucleotides. RefSeq lists it as uncharacterized. The record is from RefSeq and is a predicted model, not a curated record. Lineage: Eukaryota; Metazoa; Arthropoda; Insecta; Coleoptera; Nitidulidae. The transcript is spliced from 2 exons.